UUAAAAAUGUCGUUUGAAAAUGAAAAUAGAUAUGAAAAUAAAUAUGAUUUUCAUUUUACGCAAAGUAACCAUUUCAUGUACUUAAAAAAACAUUUAAAUGUAAAAUAAUGUAGCUAAAUCCAACGUUAUGUUAAUUACGAUUUUGGUUAUAUUUUAUAUCACAAUAGACGUUAGAACGGCGGAUGCGAUGGAACCUCUAGACAGAGAAAGCGAUACAGAUAAAUCUUUAAAUUCAUCGAGAACGUUGUUCAAUCCCUAUCACCCUGAAGAUGGUGUGUUUUCAGCAGAUGUAACUGAAGAUGUGAUUGAAGAUUUUAAUAAACAAUUCGACUUUAGAGCGGGCGAGUUAACAGAAUUAUCUGUUGAAACUAUAAAACCAGCGAAGGAUCUAAUAGUUAAUGGUAAAAUUUUUCAACUUAUUACGGGGAAGUACCACUCUGUUAAAAGUGAGAGUGAUGGAAAUUGAAGAAAUAAAAAGCCUUGGAUUUUUAAA
Pectinophora gossypiella (pink bollworm) is the source of this 493-nucleotide long non-coding RNA. RefSeq lists it as uncharacterized. The transcript is spliced from 2 exons. Lineage: Eukaryota; Metazoa; Arthropoda; Insecta; Lepidoptera; Gelechiidae. The record is from RefSeq and is a predicted model, not a curated record.